UUAUAUCCGGGGCUACACACACGCUACAAUGGGCGGUACAACGAGAAGCGAAAGGGCGACCUGAAGCGAAUCUCAUCAAAGCCGUUCGUAGUUCAGAUUGCAGGCUGCAACCCGCCUGCAUGAAGCCGGAGUUGCUAGUAAACGCAGGUCAGCUAUACUGUGUUGAAUACGUUCCCGGGCCUU
This 183-nucleotide ribosomal RNA is filed under the name uncultured Rhodanobacteraceae bacterium. RNAcentral's name for it is "partial 16S ribosomal RNA". It matches the Rfam family "Bacterial small subunit ribosomal RNA", at positions 1202 to 1382 of the family's 1533-position model. The record is from RNAcentral. Lineage: Bacteria; Pseudomonadati; Pseudomonadota; Gammaproteobacteria; Lysobacterales; Rhodanobacteraceae.